RNAcentral lists this unclassified non-coding RNA (180 nucleotides) under uncultured Simplicillium. Its description in RNAcentral is "sequence contains ITS1". Lineage: Eukaryota; Fungi; Ascomycota; Sordariomycetes; Hypocreales; Cordycipitaceae. The record is from RNAcentral.
UCGAGUUUAUUCAACUCCCAACCCUAUGUGAACCUACCUUUAUGUUGCUUCGGCGGAGUCACGCCAGGCGGCCUCUUCGCGAGGCUCCUGGGACAACGUGCCCGCCGGAGACUACAAACUCUUGAUUUUGCGAAAGCAGUAUUAUUCUGAGUGGCCGAAAGGCAAAAAACAAAUGAAUCA